AGCUUGCUCUCGGGUGACGAGCGGCGGACGGGUGAGUAAUGUCUGGGAAACUGCCUGAUGGAGGGGGAUAACUACUGGAAACGGUAGCUAAUACCGCAUAACGUCGCAAGACCAAAGAGGGGGACCUUCGGGCCUCUUGCCAUCAGAUGUGCCCAGAUGGGAUUAGCUAGUAGGUGGGGUAAUGGCUCACCUAGGCGACGAUCCCUAGCUGGUCUGAGAGGAUGACCAGCCACACUGGAACUGAGACACGGUCCAGACUCCUACGGGAGGCAGCAGUGGGGAAUAUUGCACAAUGGGCGCAAGCCUGAUGCAGCCAUGCCGCGUGUAUGAAGAAGGCCUUCGGGUUGUAAAGUACUUUCAGCGAGGAGGAAGGCAUUGUGGUUAAUAACCACAGUGAUUGACGUUACUCGCAGAAGAAGCACCGGCUAACUCCGUGCCAGCAGCCGCGGUAAUACGGAGGGUGCAAGCGUUAAUCGGAAUUACUGGGCGUAAAGCGCACGCAGGCGGUCUGUCAAGUCGGAUGUGAAAUCCCCGGGCUCAACCUGGGAACUGCAUUCGAAACUGGCAGGCUAGAGUCUUGUAGAGGGGGGUAGAAUUCCACGUGUAGCGGUGAAAUGCGUAGAGAUCUGGAGGAAUACCGUGGCGAAGCGCCCCUGGACAAAGACUGACGCUCAGUGCGAAGCGU
Molecule: ribosomal RNA, 685 nt
Filed under: Enterobacteriaceae bacterium B-RO9-1
Lineage: Bacteria; Pseudomonadati; Pseudomonadota; Gammaproteobacteria; Enterobacterales; Enterobacteriaceae
Description: bacterial SSU rRNA
Rfam family: Bacterial small subunit ribosomal RNA
Source: RNAcentral